Molecule: ribosomal RNA, 487 nt
Filed under: uncultured bacterium
Lineage: Bacteria
Description: bacterial SSU rRNA
Rfam family: Bacterial small subunit ribosomal RNA
Source: RNAcentral
GAUGAACGCUAGCGGCAGGCCUAACACAUGCAAGUCGAGGGGCAUCGCGGUGCAGCAAUGCACUGGCGGCGACCGGCGUACGGGUGCGUAACGCGUAUGCAACCUGCCCCGCACCGGGGGAUAGCCCGCCGAAAGGCGGAUUAAUACCCCAUGGUCCCGGGGGCCCGCAUGGGCAUCCGGGUAAAGCCUUGGCGGUGCGGGAUGGGCAUGCGUGCCAUUAGCUGGCUGGUGGGGUAACGGCCCACCAGGGCAACGAUGGCUAGGGGGUCUGAGAGGAUGGUCCCCCACACUGGUACUGAGACACGGACCAGACUCCUACGGGAGGCAGCAGUGAGGAAUAUUGGUCAAUGGGCGGAAGCCUGAACCAGCCAUGCCGCGUGCGGGAUGAAGGCCCUACGGGUUGUAAACCGCUUUUCCCCGGGAAGAAUAACCCCGAUGAGUCGGGGGAUGCCGGUACCGGGGGAAUAAGGGAUCGGCUAACUCCGUG